AGGAUCUACGUGGAGGUUUGUGAGGUGGUGGAGCAGCUAUCACCUGCAGUUAUAUUUAUUAACCCAAAGUGGAUUUCUGUGUCACGGCUGUCUUCGUCCUCUGAUGAUAUAACGAAAUCGUCGUCGGAAAAUGUGGACCAAUACGCAGCAGUUUUCUAGUCCUUCCCGGUUUUGACCGUUCUGCCUGCCCUGACCCUGAGCCUGCCUGCCGUUCUUUACCUUGCCACGCCUAACUGGAUUAUUGACCCCUGCCUGCCCUGACCCUGAGACUGCCUGCUGUUCCCUUUGACCUGUCAUUUGCCUGCCCCUGUAUUACAAAUAAAAGUUUGUUUUUUUGACACUGUCUGCAUCUGGGUCAUACCUGAAACGUGAUAGUACGAACUGGCCAUGACUGACCCAGCAGACUCGGACCAGCUCCGCAACGCCCUCUCCUCCCAAGGAGACACCACUAUAAGGCACGAGGAGUUGCUUCAUGCGCCUCAAUUCCUGGCAGCCUAGGGGGGCCCUACUGUUCACCUUCUCCUACUGGCCGAGAUCCAAGAAUGUCAAACCGGAUGUGCUGUCACGCCGCUAUAGC
Molecule: long non-coding RNA, 577 nt
Filed under: Salmo salar (Atlantic salmon)
Lineage: Eukaryota; Metazoa; Chordata; Actinopteri; Salmoniformes; Salmonidae
Description: lncRNA (ENSSSAG00000095520.1)
Source: RNAcentral